Xenopus laevis (African clawed frog) is the source of this 689-nucleotide long non-coding RNA. RefSeq lists it as uncharacterized. The transcript has 3 exons. The record is from RefSeq and is a predicted model, not a curated record. NCBI's taxonomy places the organism in Eukaryota, Metazoa, Chordata, Amphibia, Anura, Pipidae.
GGCAUUUUGCCUCCAGUUUGCUUCCCCAAAAUUAUUGUAAGUCAAGAACCAAUGAAGAAGAUGCCUGAAAAGCAGGGCCAAGAGAGAAAUAUGUCUGCAAGAUGGCUAGGUGUGGAGAAACUGCAGCUACCGCUUUCUGAACUAGUUAAGGUAAUAAGCAAACAGACAGAAUAUAGACAUCACACAUUUAUCAACCAGGUGCUACACUCCCUUCGAGAGAGGCGGUAAGUUAAGAGAACCAUGCCUCUUUGUGUGGUCAGACUGUGAAUGAAUAUUUGUGUAUAGUUAUGAGAAUUAUGUAUAAGCGGCUAAAAAAACACAGCUGUCAUUGUUGUCACAGCAAGCAAGAAAUGUUGCAGAACAUAGGAAUGGUUGGAAGCAUGCAUCAAGUGACAACACACAGAUAUCAAGAAGAACAUAGUGCCAGUAAUACUCAAUUCACAUGGAAAAUAAUAAGCUGAAUAUUCAAACCUAUACAUAUAUCUCAUACUGAUACAUUUUUGGCUUCUACACAGCAGGAUGAAUAUUUUAAAGCCACUUGUUCUACCUUCCAGUGUUUUUACUUCUGCUCCUAGUCUUCACCAUAAUUAUUUAUUGUUUGCCAACAAAAGGACAUAUUUAUCCAACUUUAUGAGCCGUAUGAAAAUAGAUCUUGCCACAGCUCGAGUGCAAUUCUGCCAUUUUCUAUU